RNAcentral lists this ribosomal RNA (467 nucleotides) under uncultured bacterium. RNAcentral describes it as "partial 16S ribosomal RNA". It matches the Rfam family "Bacterial small subunit ribosomal RNA", at positions 28 to 506 of the family's 1533-position model. The record is from RNAcentral.
GACGAACGCUGGCGGCGUGCUUAACACAUGCAAGUCGAACGGAAAGGCCCUGCUUUUGUGGGGUGCUCGAGUGGCGAACGGGUGAGUAACACGUGAGUAACCUGCCCUUGACUUUGGGAUAACUUCAGGAAACUGGGGCUAAUACCGGAUAGGAGCUCCUGCUGCAUGGUGGGGGUUGGAAAGUUUCGGCGGUUGGGGAUGGACUCGCGGCUUAUCAGCUUGUUGGUGGGGUAGUGGCUUACCAAGGCUUUGACGGGUAGCCGGCCUGAGAGGGUUACCGGCCACAUGGAGACUGAGAUACGGCCCAGACUCCUACGGGAGGCAGCAGUGGGGAAUAUUGCACAAUGGGCGGAAGCCUGAUGCAGCAACGCCGCGUGCGGGAUGACGGCCUUCGGGUUGGAAACCGCUUUCGCCUGUGACGAAGCGUGAGGGACGGUAAUGGGUAAAGAAGCACCGGCGAACUACGU